RNAcentral lists this ribosomal RNA (2904 nucleotides) under Escherichia coli. RNAcentral describes it as "23S ribosomal RNA". It matches the Rfam family "Bacterial large subunit ribosomal RNA". The record is from RNAcentral. RNAcentral also lists the same sequence under 1 other name. Lineage: Bacteria; Pseudomonadati; Pseudomonadota; Gammaproteobacteria; Enterobacterales; Enterobacteriaceae.
GGUUAAGCGACUAAGCGUACACGGUGGAUGCCCUGGCAGUCAGAGGCGAUGAAGGACGUGCUAAUCUGCGAUAAGCGUCGGUAAGGUGAUAUGAACCGUUAUAACCGGCGAUUUCCGAAUGGGGAAACCCAGUGUGAUUCGUCACACUAUCAUUAACUGAAUCCAUAGGUUAAUGAGGCGAACCGGGGGAACUGAAACAUCUAAGUACCCCGAGGAAAAGAAAUCAACCGAGAUUCCCCCAGUAGCGGCGAGCGAACGGGGAGCAGCCCAGAGCCUGAAUCAGUGUGUGUGUUAGUGGAAGCGUCUGGAAAGGCGCGCGAUACAGGGUGACAGCCCCGUACACAAAAAUGCACAUACUGUGAGCUCGAUGAGUAGGGCGGGACACGUGGUAUCCUGUCUGAAUAUGGGGGGACCAUCCUCCAAGGCUAAAUACUCCUGACUGACCGAUAGUGAACCAGUACCGUGAGGGAAAGGCGAAAAGAACCCCGGCGAGGGGAGUGAAAAAGAACCUGAAACCGUGUACGUACAAGCAGUGGGAGCCUCUUUAUGGGGUGACUGCGUACCUUUUGUAUAAUGGGUCAGCGACUUAUAUUCUGUAGCAAGGUUAACCGAAUAGGGGAGCCGAAGGGAAACCGAGUCUUAACUGGGCGUUAAGUUGCAGGGUAUAGACCCGAAACCCGGUGAUCUAGCCAUGGGCAGGUUGAAGGUUGGGUAACACUAACUGGAGGACCGAACCGACUAAUGUUGAAAAAUUAGCGGAUGACUUGUGGCUGGGGGUGAAAGGCCAAUCAAACCGGGAGAUAGCUGGUUCUCCCCGAAAGCUAUUUAGGUAGCGCCUCGUGAAUUCAUCUCCGGGGGUAGAGCACUGUUUCGGCAAGGGGGUCAUCCCGACUUACCAACCCGAUGCAAACUGCGAAUACCGGAGAAUGUUAUCACGGGAGACACACGGCGGGUGCUAACGUCCGUCGUGAAGAGGGAAACAACCCAGACCGCCAGCUAAGGUCCCAAAGUCAUGGUUAAGUGGGAAACGAUGUGGGAAGGCCCAGACAGCCAGGAUGUUGGCUUAGAAGCAGCCAUCAUUUAAAGAAAGCGUAAUAGCUCACUGGUCGAGUCGGCCUGCGCGGAAGAUGUAACGGGGCUAAACCAUGCACCGAAGCUGCGGCAGCGACACUAUGUGUUGUUGGGUAGGGGAGCGUUCUGUAAGCCUGUGAAGGUGUGCUGUGAGGUAUGCUGGAGGUAUCAGAAGUGCGAAUGCUGACAUAAGUAACGAUAAAGCGGGUGAAAAGCCCGCUCGCCGGAAGACCAAGGGUUCCUGUCCAACGUUAAUCGGGGCAGGGUGAGUCGACCCCUAAGGCGAGGCCGAAAGGCGUAGUCGAUGGGAAACAGGUUAAUAUUCCUGUACUUGGUGUUACUGCGAAGGGGGGACGGAGAAGGCUAUGUUGGCCGGGCGACGGUUGUCCCGGUUUAAGCGUGUAGGCUGGUUUUCCAGGCAAAUCCGGAAAAUCAAGGCUGAGGCGUGAUGACGAGGCACUACGGUGCUGAAGCAACAAAUGCCCUGCUUCCAGGAAAAGCCUCUAAGCAUCAGGUAACAUCAAAUCGUACCCCAAACCGACACAGGUGGUCAGGUAGAGAAUACCAAGGCGCUUGAGAGAACUCGGGUGAAGGAACUAGGCAAAAUGGUGCCGUAACUUCGGGAGAAGGCACGCUGAUACGUAGGUGAAGUCCCUUGCGGAUGGAGCUGAAAUCAGUCGAAGAUACCAGCUGGCUGCAACUGUUUAUUAAAAACACAGCACUGUGCAAACACGAAAGUGGACGUAUACGGUGUGACGCCUGCCCGGUGCCGGAAGGUUAAUUGAUGGGGUUAGCGGUAACGCGAAGCUCUUGAUCGAAGCCCCGGUAAACGGCGGCCGUAACUAUAACGGUCCUAAGGUAGCGAAAUUCCUUGUCGGGUAAGUUCCGACCUGCACGAAUGGCGUAAUGAUGGCCAGGCUGUCUCCACCCGAGACUCAGUGAAAUUGAACUCGCUGUGAAGAUGCAGUGUACCCGCGGCAAGACGGAAAGACCCCGUGAACCUUUACUAUAGCUUGACACUGAACAUUGAGCCUUGAUGUGUAGGAUAGGUGGGAGGCUUUGAAGUGUGGACGCCAGUCUGCAUGGAGCCGACCUUGAAAUACCACCCUUUAAUGUUUGAUGUUCUAACGUUGGCCCCUGAUCGGGGUUGCGGACAGUGUCUGGUGGGUAGUUUGACUGGGGCGGUCUCCUCCUAAAGAGUAACGGAGGAGCACGAAGGUUGGCUAAUCCUGGUCGGACAUCAGGAGGUUAGUGCAAUGGCAUAAGCCAGCUUGACUGCGAGCGUGACGGCGCGAGCAGGUGCGAAAGCAGGUCAUAGUGAUCCGGUGGUUCUGAAUGGAAGGGCCAUCGCUCAACGGAUAAAAGGUACUCCGGGGAUAACAGGCUGAUACCGCCCAAGAGUUCAUAUCGACGGCGGUGUUUGGCACCUCGAUGUCGGCUCAUCACAUCCUGGGGCUGAAGUAGGUCCCAAGGGUAUGGCUGUUCGCCAUUUAAAGUGGUACGCGAGCUGGGUUUAGAACGUCGUGAGACAGUUCGGUCCCUAUCUGCCGUGGGCGCUGGAGAACUGAGGGGGGCUGCUCCUAGUACGAGAGGACCGGAGUGGACGCAUCACUGGUGUUCGGGUUGUCAUGCCAAUGGCACUGCCCGGUAGCUAAAUGCGGAAGAGAUAAGUGCUGAAAGCAUCUAAGCACGAAACUUGCCCCGAGAUGAGUUCUCCCUGACUCCUUGAGAGUCCUGAAGGAACGUUGAAGACGACGACGUUGAUAGGCCGGGUGUGUAAGCGCAGCGAUGCGUUGAGCUAACCGGUACUAAUGAACCGUGAGGCUUAACCUU